Molecule: ribosomal RNA, 713 nt
Filed under: uncultured bacterium
Lineage: Bacteria
Description: bacterial SSU rRNA
Rfam family: Bacterial small subunit ribosomal RNA
Source: RNAcentral
CAGUCGACGGUAACAGAAAGCAGCUUGCUGCUUUGCUGACGAGUGGCGGACGGGUGAGUAAUGUCUGGGAAACUGCCUGAUGGAGGGGGAUAACUACUGGAAACGGUAGCUAAUACCGCAUAACGUCGCAAGACCAAAGAGGGGGACCUUCGGGCCUCUUGCCAUCGGAUGUGCCCAGAUGGGAUUAGCUUGUUGGUGGGGUAACGGCUCACCAAGGCGACGAUCCCUAGCUGGUCUGAGAGGAUGACCAGCCACACUGGAACUGAGACACGGUCCAGACUCCUACGGGAGGCAGCAGUGGGGAAUAUUGCACAAUGGGCGCAAGCCUGAUGCAGCCAUGCCGCGUGUAUGAAGAAGGCCUUCGGGUUGUAAAGUACUUUCAGCGGGGAGGAAGGGAGUAAAGUUAAUACCUUUGCUCAUUGACGUUACCCGCAGAAGAAGCACCGGCUAACUCCGUGCCAGCAGCCGCGGUAAUACGGAGGGUGCAAGCGUUAAUCGGAAUUACUGGGCGUAAAGCGCACGCAGGCGGUUUGUUAAGUCAGAUGUGAAAUCCCCGGGCUCAACCUGGGAACUGCAUCUGAUACUGGCAAGCUUGAGUCUCGUAGAGGGGGGUAGAAUUCCAGGUGUAGCGGUGAAAUGCGUAGAGAUCUGGAGGAAUACCGGUGGCGAAGGCGGCCCCCUGGACGAAGACUGACGCUCAGGUGCGAAAGCGU